UCCUGGGGCUGGAGAAGGUCCCAAGGGUUUGGCUGUUCGCCAAUUAAAAAGGUACGUGAGCUGGGUUCAAACCGUCAACCAACACAUAUUGUCUGUUAGGUAUGUGUGGCGGCCUAUGGCAGCGAUGUCGUAGUGAAUAAAUCGACUCAUAUCGGUGAAGUCCUAACAUUGAAUUGUAUUACAACCUGUCAUAUGUUAGGAUAAUACCGAGGGAAGUCUAUAUAAAUUCAAAAGUUAAAAAUCAAAAUGCAAAAUUUUAUCAAAAAUAAUUGGUUUAAAUUAUUGAUACUAAUUUUGCUUGCGGUUUUUAUAGGGAUUUAUGGUUAUAGUGUUUAUAAAUCUUAUCAACCAAAAUCUCUAAAAGAAAAAAUUUUUCAGGAAAUUCAAAAAAGAUAAAUUGAAUUCAUAUAUGACCCCGUAGAGACUGAGUCCCGCAAAGUGCGGGACGAGAGUCGCUUGAAAUAAAGCGGCUAACACGUCGAUCCUCUCUGUUUAAGUGAGAGGGUGGUAUAGUCCAUACACCUAGUAAUAGGUGACAAAUUACGAUUUUAAUCGUAAAUAAUAUGCGUGAGACAGGUUGGUCUCUAUCUGCUGCAGGCGUGGAUACUUGAGGGGAGUCUUCUUUAGUAAAUUUUUGCUACUUCACAGAGCAAUCUGUGAUGACAAUUCGACUAAUAACGGUGAAACCUUCAUAAUUAUAUGGUGGCACACGACCAUUUGGUAGCGUGGUCCGCUACAUUCGUGGUAUAAUGUGUUCUAUUAAUGGAACAAGAUUGAGGACCAUAUAGUUUUAAGGCAAUACCGUGGGAAGACAAACAAAAAAUCAAAUAGAUUGGGCAUAUAUAGCAGGUUUUUUGGACGGCGAUGGAAGUUUAAUGGUACAAGUAAAAAAUAGACGCGCAACUAAACGAGGUUGGCGUUUGAUGUUUACGAUUUGCUUCUAUCAAGAUAGCCGCCACAAAAAAUAUCUGAAGUGGAUUAAAAACAAAAUCGGAAUCGGUUAUUUAUCUGAUAGAUCAGAUGGAAUAAGCGAACUCCGAAUUAAUGGUUUUGAUUCAGUUAGAAAAAUACUGAUAAAGUUGAAGCCGUAUGUAAAAUUUAAAGCCAUUCAAUUAAAGAUAGUUUUAAGAAUCUUAUCUUUAAUAAGCGGUAAAAAUUUUGCCCAAUUGGAUAAAAAUACCAGAUUGAAAAUUGCCGAUUUAAUCAGUGAUUUGCAAAACAGAAAUUAUAAAUCUGGCAGGCGCAAAUUUAAUAAAGUUAAAUUGCGUAAAGUUUUAGGAUUUUAGUUUGUCCCCGUAACGACUUGUUUCUGUUAUUAAAACAGAAACGGAUGGCAGGUGCUUCAUAUUGAAGAUAAAAAACUGCCAUAAUACGUCGACCCCCCGCCAUAGCGGGGGUGAAGAUAUAGUCUGAGCCCAUAGAAAUAUGGGAAAAAAUCACAAAAUAUUAUUGUGAUGUAAUCGACGAGAGGACCGAGAAGAACGGACCGCUGGUGUACCAGCUGUACUGCCAAGUGCAUCGCUGGGUAGCUAUGUCUGGAUCGGAUAAGCGCUGAAAGCAUCUAAGCACGAAGCCGGCCCCAAGAUUAGGUAUCGUAGACCCCUUCUAGACCAGGAGGUUGAUAGGCCCUAGGUGUAAGUCCGGUAACGGAUUGAGCCGAGGGGUACUAAUUGGUCAUUC
Molecule: ribosomal RNA, 1680 nt
Filed under: Candidatus Portnoybacteria bacterium CG_4_10_14_0_2_um_filter_39_11
Lineage: Bacteria; Candidatus Portnoyibacteriota
Description: partial 23S ribosomal RNA
Rfam family: Bacterial large subunit ribosomal RNA
Source: RNAcentral